RNAcentral lists this ribosomal RNA (478 nucleotides) under uncultured bacterium. Its description in RNAcentral is "partial 16S ribosomal RNA". It matches the Rfam family "Bacterial small subunit ribosomal RNA", at positions 28 to 523 of the family's 1533-position model. The record is from RNAcentral.
GACGAACGCUGGCGGCGUGCUUAACACAUGCAAGUCGAACGGUAAGGCCCUUCGGGGUACACGAGUGGCGAACGGGUGAGUAACACGUGGGUGAUCUGCCCUGCACUUCGGGAUAAGCCUGGGAAACUGGGUCUAAUACCGGAUAGGACCACUGCCUGCAUGGGUGGUGGUGGAAAGCUUUUGCGGUGUGGGAUGGGCCCGCGGCCUAUCAGCUUGUUGGUGGGGUGAUGGCCUACCAAGGCGACGACGGGUAGCCGGCCUGAGAGGGUGACCGGCCACACUGGGACUGGGUUACGGACCAGACUCCUACGGGAGGCAGCAGUGGGGAAUAUUGCACAAUGGGCGCAAGCCUGAUGCAGCGACGCCGCGUGAGGGAUGACGGCCUUCGGGUUGUAAACCUCUUUCAGCACCGACGAAGCGCAAGUGACGGUAGGUGCAGAAGAAGGACCGGCCAACUACGUGCCAGCCGCCGCGGUAA